RNAcentral lists this long non-coding RNA (2139 nucleotides) under Nicotiana tabacum (common tobacco). RNAcentral describes it as "long non-coding RNA (NTAB_LNC019359)". Lineage: Eukaryota; Viridiplantae; Streptophyta; Magnoliopsida; Solanales; Solanaceae. The record is from RNAcentral.
UAAGUUUGAAAUAACACAUUUUAAGGUCAAGGGCCUUCGCCAAAAAGAAGAGUUCAACCUCGAUCGAACAACGAUGGAUUACUAUUUCGAUAUGUUCGAAAUAACACCCUUUAAGGCCAGGGACCUUCGCCAAAAAGAAGAGUUCGACCUCGAUCGAACGACAAUGGGUUACUAUUUCGAUAAGUUCGAAAUACACCCUUUAAGGCCAGGGGCCUUCGCCAAAAAGAAGAGUUCGACCUCGAUCGAACGAUGACAGGUUACUAUUUCGAUAAGUUCGAAAUAACACCCUUGAAGGCCAGGGGCCUUCGCCAAAAAGAAGAGUUCGACCUCGAUCGAACGAUGAUGGGUUACUAUUUUGAUACCUCGAUCGAACGAUGAUGGGUUACUAUUUUGAUAAGUUCGAAAUAACACCCUUUAAGGCCAGGGGCCUUCGCCAAAAAGAAGAGUUCGACCUCGAUUGAACGACGACGGGUAACUAUUUUGAUAAGUUCAAAAUAACACCCUUUAAGGCCAGGGGCCUUCGCCAAAACGAAGAGUUCGACCUCUAUCGAACGACGGCAGGUUACUAUUUGGAUAUGUUCGAAAUAACACCCUUUAAGGCCAGGGGCCUUCGCCAAAAAGAAGAGUUCUACCUCGAUCGAACGACGACGAGUUAUUAUUACGAUAAGUUAGAAAUAACACCCUUUAAGGCUAGGGGAACUUCGCCAAAAAGAAGAGUUCAACUUCUAUCGAACGACGACGGGUGACUAUUUCGAUAAGUUCGAAAUAACACCCUUUAAAGCCAGAGGCCUUCGCCAAAAAGAAGAGUUCGACCUCGAUCAUACGACGACGGGUUACUAUUUCGAUAAGUUCGAAAUAACACCCUUUAAGGCCAGGGGCCUUCGCCAAAAAGAAGAGUUCGACCUCAAUCGAACGACAACAGGUUACUAUUUCGAUAAGUUCAAAAUAACACCAUGUAAGGCCAUGGGCCUUCGCCAAAAAGAAGAGUUCGACCUCGAUCGAACGACGACGGUUAUUAUUUCGAUAAGAUCGAAAUAACACCCUUGAAGGUCAGGGGCCUUCGCCAAAAAGAAGAGUUCGACUUCGAUAGAAUGACGAUGGGUUACUAUUUUGAUAAGUUCAAAAUAACACCCUUUAAGGCCAGGGGCCUUCGCCAAAAAGAAGUGUUCGACCUCGAUCGAACGACGAUGGCUUACUAUUUCGAUAAGUUCGAAAUAACACCGUUGAAGUCCAGGGGCCUUCACCAAAAAGAAGAGUUCGCCCUCGAUAGAAUUAUGACAGGUGACUAUUUCGAUAAGUUCGAAAUAACACCCUUAAAGGCCAUGGGCUUUCGCCAAAAAGAAGAGUUCGACCUCAAUCGAACGACGAUGGCUUAUUAUUAUGAUAAGUUCGAAAUAACACCCUUGAAGGCCAGGGGCCUUCGCCAAAAAGAAGAGUUCGACGUCGAUCGAACGACAACAGGUUACUCAUUCGAUAAGUUCAAAAUAACACCAUGUAAGGCCAUGGGCCUUCGCCAAAAAGAAGUGUCUCACCUCGAUCGAACGGCGAUGGAUUACUAUUUCGAUACGUUCGAAAUAACACCCUUUAAGGCCAAUGGCCUUCGCAAAAAAAAAGAGUUCGAUCUCGAUCGAACGACGACGGGUUACUAUUUCGAUAAGUUCGAAAUAACACCCUUUAAGGCUAGUGGAACUUCGCCAAAAAGAAGAGUUCGACCUCGAUCGAACGACGAUGGCUUACUAUUUCGAUAAGUUCGAAAUAACACCCUUUAAGGCCAGGGACUUCGCCAAAAAGAAGAGUUCUACCUCGAUCGAACGACGACGGGUUACUAUUUCGAUAAGUUCGAAAUAACACCUUAUAAGGCCAGGGGCCUUCGCCAAAAAGAAGAGUUCGACCUCGAUCGAACGACAAUGGGUUACUAUUUCGAUAAGUUAGAAAUAACACCCCUUAAGGCUAGGGGCCUUCGCCAAAAAGAAGAGUUCGACCUCGAUCGAACGACGAUGGGGUUCUACUUUGAUAAGUUCGAAAUAGCACCCUUAAAGGCUAGCCUUCGCCAAAAAGAAGAGUUCGACCUCGAUCGAAUGAUGACGAGUUACUAUUUCGAUAACUUUGAUAUAACACAUUUUAAGGCCAAGGGCCUUC